Molecule: ribosomal RNA, 446 nt
Filed under: uncultured bacterium
Lineage: Bacteria
Description: partial 16S ribosomal RNA
Rfam family: Bacterial small subunit ribosomal RNA
Source: RNAcentral
CCUACGGGUGGCAGCAGUCGAGAAUCUUUCACAAUGGGGGAAACCCUGACGAUGCGACGCCGCGUGAGGGAAUGAAGGCCUUCGGAUUGUAAACCCCUGUCAUGUGGGAGCAAAUUAAAAAGAUAGUCCCACAAGAGGAAGAGACGGCUAACUCGGUGCCCGCAGCCGCGGUACUACAGAGGUCUCAAGCGUUGUUCGGAAUCACUGGGCGUAAAGCGUGCGUAGGCUGUUUCGUAAGUCGUGUGUGAAAGGCGCGAGCUCAACCCGCGGACGGCACAUGAUACUGCGAGACUAGAGUAAGGGAGGGGGAACCGGAAUUCUCGGUGUAGCAGUGAAAUGCGUAGAUAUCGAGAGGAACACUCGUGGCGAAGGCGGGUUCCUGGACAUUAACUGACGCUGAGGCACGAAGGCCAGGGGAGCGAAAGGGAUUAGAUACCCGAGUAGUC